Molecule: ribosomal RNA, 496 nt
Filed under: uncultured bacterium
Lineage: Bacteria
Description: partial 16S ribosomal RNA
Rfam family: Bacterial small subunit ribosomal RNA
Source: RNAcentral
GAUGAACGCUGGCGGCGUGCCUAAUACAUGCAAGUAGAACGCUGAAGGAGGAGCUUGCUCUUUCCGGAUGAGUUGCGAACGGGUGAGUAACGCGUAGGUAACCUGCCUGGUAGCGGGGGAUAACUAUUGGAAACGAUAGCUAAUACCGCAUAACAGUAGAUAUUGCAUGAUAUUUGCUUGAAAGGGGCAAUUGCUCCACUACCAGAUGGACCUGCGUUGUAUUAGCUAGUUGGUGAGGUAACGGCUCACCAAGGCGACGAUACAUAGCCGACCUGAGAGGGUGAUCGGCCCCACUGGGACUGAGACACGGCCCAGACUCCUACGGGAGGCAGCAGUAGGGAAUCUUCGGCAAUGGACGGAAGUCUGACCGAGCAACGCCGCGUGAGUGAAGAAGGUUUUCGGAUCGUAAAGCUCUGUUGUAAGAGAAGAACGAGUGUGAGAGUGGAAAGUUCACACUGUGACGGUAUCUUACCAGAAAGGGACGGCUAACUACGUG